Pangasianodon gigas (Mekong giant catfish) is the source of this 73-nucleotide non-coding RNA. The record is from the annotation of a GenBank genome assembly. NCBI's taxonomy places the organism in Eukaryota, Metazoa, Chordata, Actinopteri, Siluriformes, Pangasiidae.
ACUAAGCUUUACUACAAUGUAGUGUAGUAUAUAUUGUACUGUAGUGUAAUAAAGUGUACUAGACUACUGCACA